GCAAGAACUAGCAAUGGUGAUCCGCCAGCAUCAGAAUCCACACCAUUACUUUCAUCAAGCCCAGCAUCUGUGGCUUCUUCUAUGUUGUCAUCCUUUAGAUCUGCAUCGACGUUGGCCAUACAAAUUGCCCCUACAUCAUCGCGAUCUCCAUCAGUUUCUCAUAUUCCAUUUUCACGAACUCCUUCAGUUUCUCAUAGUCCUCGUUCUAGCACUCCAUAUGUCCAGCAAUCUCUUAGGUCCUACCACCAAUCGCCAUCUCUAAGUGUAAGUCACCGCUCAGCAGAUCUUAGGCAUGUGUCAUCGCAAAGAUCAAUUGCUUCUCAAUUAAUUUCACCCCACUCCUUGGGUUACCCAUCAAUAUCACCUCUUAACUCAAGAUACAUGUCUCCAUAUAUUCCUAGCCCAAGUAAUGCCUUGCCUUGUUUUUCAAGUUCUUCAAGUCAUCAACCGCAGCCACUGCAUUGUAGCGAGUCUGCAGCAAGUUCAAGUUUCUCCCCAUUUGCCUCCGCUCAGUCGCUUCCUGAAUGUUAAUUUGAGAUUUCAUUUUAUGA
This 551-nucleotide unclassified non-coding RNA is filed under the name Hevea brasiliensis (rubber tree). Lineage: Eukaryota; Viridiplantae; Streptophyta; Magnoliopsida; Malpighiales; Euphorbiaceae. The record is from RNAcentral.